This is a long non-coding RNA of Zalophus californianus (California sea lion), 562 nucleotides long. RefSeq lists it as uncharacterized. NCBI's taxonomy places the organism in Eukaryota, Metazoa, Chordata, Mammalia, Carnivora, Otariidae. The transcript is spliced from 4 exons. The record is from RefSeq and is a predicted model, not a curated record.
AUCUCCACGACGCCAGUGAACUCUGCUAUCCAAAUUAACUCUGCAUUGCAAGGCCUUUGGGAUAAGGUGGGAGGUGCAGUGUUUCCAGACUGGAGCCCAGUGGGCCGCUGGGACAGAGGGCAGCUGUAAGGCCAGAGAGCAAGGAGGACCAACGAGGACAUUUAUUUAUUUGAGGGAGAGAAAGAGCGCAUGCGCACGUGCGGGAGCAUAAGCGCGGUGGGAGGGGCAGAGAAAGAGGGAGAGAGAAUCCCAAGCGGACUCUGCGCUGAGUGUGGAGCUCGACACCGGGCUUGAUCCCACGACCCGGAGAUCACGACCCCAGCCAAAACCAAGAGUCCAGCCUUAACCAACUGCACCACCCGGGUACCCCAAGACUAAGGUUCCAUGAGCCACCGAGGGAGGCCUGGCUGCCUGAAGGCUGCUCCCCCAUCCCCCACCGUGCCCAGCCCAGCAAGAUUUCGUCCCGACACCCCCUCUCACUGCCUUUGGAGCUUCCCGGAGAUCCACGGCAAUCGGAGAAGCGAUGAUGAUGUAAGAAUAACAUAAUGAUCCUAAAGCCAAU